CAACUGUGAUCCACUGCUGUUGUGUAUGCAGACGGGGAUGCGGACAAGGACGUAAUAUCAUUAUAAAUUCAUGAAGCAAUGACUCUUGCUUGUUAUUUAGCAUCUCUAGAGUCAAUGUCACUGAGCCCUGGGAGAAAAAAAAUGACUCAAUGGAAUUAUUUACCUGCAUGUAAUACUGGACAAAUGAUUUAUUCACACAAUUUCUCUCACUUUUUCUGUAAUUUUUGGGGUUAUAUAAAAAAAUAACAAUAAAAAAAGUAUUGUUUGUGACAACAUGCCCCCAUAUAAAAACAUGUGAUAACAUUUAUGGAAGAAAAACAUCCUUCUAUCACAAAAUAACUGUCCCUAUGGUUCAUCACCAGAUUACCAUCAUUCUGUACACUGAUAUUAAGAGUCUAUAUCUGCAUCAAUAGUGAUGAAGCAUUAUUCUCAUGAAACUCAAUUUGUCCUGAUUGAAACCAAUAUUCCUUUUCCUCAAAAAGUUUUGAAUCUCUCUCUCUCUCUCUCUCUCUCUCACACACACACACACACACACACACACACACACACACACCACAACAACACCUGAACCAGCUAAAGUUACAUGACCAUCCAUAAAUGGAGAGGUAGGAGGAUACAGAGAGAGAAAAAAUAAUGGCUGUGAAAUGCUUCAUUGGUUUUGACGGUAUUGUAGGAUGAGGAAACUGUCGGGCUUUAAUCGAGGCAGACGUACAGCCCCGUCCAGAGGCAGUUGGGGAAAUGCCUGGAGGCUACUGGCUAUUGCUAUUAGUGUUGAGGAUCCAGAUCGGCCUUUCGUGAGAAGCACCCAAGGGGGCAAAGUCAGGCAUCGACAGGAUUCAGUCAGGGAGGAUUUGGAUCUCAGUUCCCACGGAAACAAGUGAGAUGUCGCUGCCAUGACAACAGGCAUCGUUCUCAGCGAUGGAGUACACAAGCCCGCUAGUCUUCCAUUAGCCACACAUGUGUUUUUAACGCGCACACACACCCAUCUCAAUUUCUCACACUAUCUCUCUCUGCAUCAGAAUGCAAAGACUCACCCUACCAUAACGACAUGGGAAUUGAGCUUCAAUUAGAAUAAUUGAAACAGUGUUCAGAACGAAACAGUCCAUUGUGACAGAUAUGAAUCAAUGCUGUUAGCUGAAGGAGACCUUGUUUUAAUUUACAUUCGGCUACGUCAGUUAUGUACUGUAUGUGGCUGCUGAAUCAUUACGGCAAUGUGUUACACCUCAUUUCCAACAAGUUAAAGAGGCUUCAACACAAUGAGCUCAGAAUGAGGAAGAUAGUGUUCAUUUGAAGACCACUGGAGCAUAGUUUUGACAAAAUUGUCCCUACACAUGACAUUGACAGUAAAAAAAUGAAUGGCUGAUUGCAGAAAAAUGAAUGGCUGAUUGUAGAAAAAUGAAUGGGAGAAACUGUAACGCUGAUAUGACGACUGUAGGAACUCCCACCUUUAAAUUUAAGAAGUAUUCUGGGUUCAAUACAAGUUGAAGUCAAUCAAUAGCAUUUGUAGCAUAAUGUUUACUCUACAUAAAGUGAUAAAAUUGAGAGUUAAGAAAAGAAACAAUGGAAGUAAAUGAGGCCAAUGUUAGUGUAGGAUUUAAAAGCAGAACUAUAAAGAUUCUAAUUUAAAAGGGCAUUUACAUUAAUUUAGCUGUUAAAGGGUCAGUUCACCCAAAAAUGAAAAUUAGGCUACGUUUUAAUCACCCCACGAGGCAUCCUAGGUAUAUAUGACUUUCUUCUUUCAGACGAAUCCAGUCGGAGUUAUAUUAAAAAUGAUCUUUCAAGCUCUAUCAUUGCAGUCAGCAGGUGUUGCAUUGCUUCAGUCUAAAAGAAGUGGAAUAAAAAGCGCCCUUCCAUUAAAAAAAAAAGAAAA
This is a long non-coding RNA of Cyprinus carpio (common carp), 1870 nucleotides long. NCBI's taxonomy places the organism in Eukaryota, Metazoa, Chordata, Actinopteri, Cypriniformes, Cyprinidae. The record is from Ensembl.